Molecule: ribosomal RNA, 297 nt
Filed under: uncultured bacterium
Lineage: Bacteria
Description: partial 16S ribosomal RNA
Rfam family: Bacterial small subunit ribosomal RNA
Source: RNAcentral
GGAUUAGAUACCCUGGUAGUCCACGCCGUAAACGAUGAGUGCUAGUUGUCGGGGGUCAUAGACUUUCGGUGACGCAGCUAACGCAUUAAGCACUCCGCCUGGGGAGUACGGUCGCAAGAUUAAAACUCAAAGGAAUUGACGGGGGCCUGCACAAGCGGUGGAGCAUGUGGUUUAAUUCGAAGCAACGCGCAGAACCUUACCAGCCCUUGACAUCCUCAUCGCGGUUACCAGAGAUGGUUUCCUUCAGUUCGGCUGGAUGAGUGACAGGUGCUGCAUGGCUGUCGUCAGCUCGUGCCG